Molecule: long non-coding RNA, 3670 nt
Organism: Calidris pugnax (ruff)
Lineage: Eukaryota; Metazoa; Chordata; Aves; Charadriiformes; Scolopacidae
Exons: 2
Source: RefSeq, a predicted model, not a curated record
CCCCCUCCAAAAGCCCCAGAAAGAUAAAAUUUCAUUCUUUCUGCCUGGACCACCUUUCCUUGUUUUGCCACUAGAUGGGAGAGUGAGACUGGGAUAACUCAGCCGCUCCCCUGCGCAUCCCGCAGGAAUUCCAAGGAGAAACGCCCGCAGGUCACCCUGCAAAUCCCCCCACCUCGGGGAGGCCAGGGGUCACCCCCAAAAUACACAGUUAUUACCAGCUUCCCCCCCUCUGCCCUCAUGCAAGGGGGAGUCUCUUAACCAAAACUAGAUAUAUUCUUGGGAUGAAAUACUUAAUUAUUUUAUUUUUUUUUUAAUAUCCCCGUGUCCUGGAGCAGAGGGAUGUGGGGGGAGCGCCUGUAAUUCACUCCUCACACCCCAAAUCCUGCUUCCCAGGAAGGCAGGAGACCCCACUAAUUGCUUUGGGAGGUUAAGGAUAAAGCAGCAUUUUCUCCUCCUUUCCUUCCACGCCUUUCUCCCCUGGGAUUCCUGCCCAACGAUGCUCCCAGUGAUACCGUGCUCCUGCCCAGAUUGAGAACAGGCUGGUGCCAUGGUUCCUGGUGCAGGAGGAGGACUUGUGCCCUGCUCUGACACCACUGGCCUCAGGAGCUGCUGAAGACGAGGGAGGGGAAGGUGCUCCCAGGUCAGUAAUGACUUAUUAAGUUCACUUUCACUGAAACACUUCCCAUCUCCCGAGAUUCUUCCCAAGGUCUUGCUGGGACUGGGUCUAUUUGGGAAUUUUAUCAUUGCAGGAACACUUUCUUAACCAAAUCAAAGAUUGCCCAGUUUGCCUACUUUUAUUAUUACAAGGUUUGGGGUUUUUAAAAAUGAACAACUCUUCUUCCUUCCUGAGAUUUCACAGGUUCUGGAACAAAUCUCUUGGUACCCAAAUUCUCUGAGUGACCGUGGCAGAAUAUGUAAUCCUGUAGCUUGGAAAUUAUCUUUUGGGGGGGAUGCUGCCUGCUCAGCCUUCCUAAUUUGCAAGCUUUUUAGGGACUGGCUCAACUGGUUUUUUUUUAAUGCCUGGCACAGUCGGGCAGUGAAAUGAAGUAACCCCAGUAACAUCCCUAAUUGCAGUGCCCUCGUUGCCUCUGUUGGGGUCUCCUAGCUUUGCCUCCACACACAUCUGCCAUUAUCCUGUCAAAGAAAAAUAUCAGCUGCUUCGGAAGAGGAAGUUCAUGGGGUUUUAACUGCAUGGAAUUACUCCUGAUUUACAUAAGGAGUGGCCACCCCACCCCGUGCGUGCCACGAGGCCACUGAGUCACCAGCACCUCCUGCACCUCGCUGGGGUGGACCCAACAUCCCCUCCGAAGAGGAGAAGAGAUGUCUUCAGCUGGUAAUUACAGCUGGAAAAACAUUGCCCGGAAGCAAUAAAACGUAGAGGAAAUUCCGGAUCUGGCAGGUCCAGGGCACGUUUGCUUCUGCAGGUGCAGGUUUGGCUGGUUGGGGGAACCCGGGGUGAGACCCACACGGGCAGCUCCCACCCGGGCCAUGGUCCAGCCUCCCAGAUGCAGGGUGUCUCCCAUAGACCUUGAUCCUGCGAGAGGAACGAUAAGGAUGGAUUUUCAAAAUCAGCUGUAACGCGUGGGAUCCAGGCCUUAUCUGAGACAGCAACACAAUUACCCACGUGAUUUUGCUCUCCGUGCUUACGGGGGCAAUAUUUUUUCCAAAGUUCAAAGUCUUUCCCUGCAGGAAGCAUGUGAUGCACUCCGCAGUCACCAUGUAGCUUUGGUGCGAUGAGCAAUUAAAGAAAUCAAUUUCUGGAGCAAUAUUUUCUAUGUUUGUAAUCUCUGAACUAAUUACAGGACUGGAAAAUCAAUCGCUAUCUGGAAAUCUUUCCAGCAGGGCUCACUAAGCAAGCUACAUAUCAUGCUGGAAUAUAUUCUUCACCUAUACACAUGAUGUUUGCGACCAUCCCCAGAUCAUCUGGGCAGGUGAUAUCGCUGUCAGUGUGUUCUCCCUUACACUGCAAUGGCAGUAUAGACCAAAAUUCAGGGGGGGGGACUGGGGAGAGCAAACAGUGCAGCACACAAGAUCUGGAGAGCUGUUCUGUGCCAGCACUUUAAGCCAACAACAGAGUUGAAAGACACGGUUAGUUCAACAAUAAUCUCCAAAAAGAUUACGAAAUAAACUCAUUAAAAGUUCAUGCCUCGGUUAUAAUGCUGUUUUUUCACCAGGCUUUAUUAAAAGAUAUAAGUAAAUCCUUUGGUGACUGAAAAUAACCUCUUUCUCCGGUCUCCUGGCAGGAGAGAAGUGGUAUUAAUGGGUAGUUAAAUGGCUAUUACACUUCAAAAACAUGCGUAAAGAGGAAGGGUGUUGCUCUGAUGGAUAGGUUCUCCUCUGGCUGCACAAACACACCGUGUUGACUGUGGCUGGAACCGGAGCCCAAACCUUUGUGCCAAGGCUUCCUGGGCACUGCAGGUGUUGCCAGGAUAUUCCCAUGGGACACGGUGCCAAACGCCCAGCGAGGGGAUAAGGAGCAAAGACCACGGUGCAGGUAAUGAUCCCCUUUGCAUCGCUGUGUGGGAUGGCAGAGCGAUGGGUUCUGAGCUGAUUUGCUCUGUUUUAAGGUGUUUUUUCUUUGAUUAUUUAUUCUUCAUAGCUUUUUCCCCUCCCCAGUGAGAUGCGCAGAGGAAAAGUGGGACCAGGGCACAUCUCUGCCCUCCCUCACUCUCCAGGCCAGGGGGGUCCCACAGCUCUAAGAGGUGGAGAUCAUCAUCCUGGAGCAGAGCUUCAGGUCAAGCAACCCAUGAAGGAAAGAAAAGCCGCAGUGUCUGUGCAUCGCCUGACGGAAAAGACCUGAGACAAAGGAGCUCAGACCCUUCAGAAGUAUUUCAAAGCGAAGCUACAGCUCUCCCUUACCCCUUUAAAAAUUAACACGACACACUUUGUGCAUGUUCAGCAGGGAAGUUCCCAAUAUCUUCUCCCCUUAUCCAGGAGGAACAGCCUGGCAGUGCUGGUCCUGGCUGGUUUAUAGAGGGCCAGAGCAGGACAAGCAGCCAGGGAUGCUCCCCUGGCCAUGGGGACAGCCCCAGCGAGAGGUUUGCACAGAGAUUAUUGGGUUUAGCAGCCACCAGAGCCUGUGUCACUCAAUAAUUUGUCUAAUCCUUCCUCGAGCACAGUUACUUUUGGCUCUGCAGUGCCCUCCAGACACGGUUGCCACUGUUUAAUCAGGAGUUUGCUUUAAACCUCCUGCCUCACCCUGGCAUUUCCAGCAUCCCUGGCUCUCCCGGCGAGAAAUGCAGCUCUCGGGGCUGAGCAGGAGGGAUUCUGAUGCUCCGGUUUGGGGAAGCAACGGGGUCUUACAGAGGUAAAAUAGCCCAAAGUCUGGGAAAAAUCCCAGAGGGAGAAUUUCAGAAGAGCAUUUCCCACUGCAAACCAGCGCUAGCCACCGCUCCAGAGCAAACCCACCCUUAUUUGUUAUUUAUUGUUUGCUGCAAUUGAAUUUCUGGCUCAAAUUGGAGUUAUAAUAAAACUCAAAAAAAAUCUUCUUUUAUUAAAAAAAAAAUAAUCAAUUUCUGUUCUUGCUUCCUGCAGUUUGCUGCUUGUUCUGCAACAGGAGAUGUGAAUCAUGGAAGUAUUUAUAACAGCGAUAUUAGGAAAUGAUCAUUCAGGCACCAGAAAUCUGCAAUAGGCAUUAUGCCUUUAAAUAAAUCCUUUAUGACUAUGUUAA